This 119-nucleotide ribosomal RNA is filed under the name Betta splendens (Siamese fighting fish). Lineage: Eukaryota; Metazoa; Chordata; Actinopteri; Anabantiformes; Osphronemidae. The record is from RNAcentral.
GCUUAAGGCCAUACCACCCUGAGCACGCCCGAUCUCGUCUGAUCUCGGAAGCUAAGCAGGGUCGGGCCUGGUUAGUACUUGGAUGGGAGACCGCCUGGGAAUACCAGGUGCUGUAAGCU